UUCUUUCAGAUUCCUUUCAUACGACCACAAACCUCUCCUCCAGCCCUAAGCCGCCAUCAACGAAGAAUAGAAAGAGACUAAGCUGCCAUGAGAGGAGUACAGAAGAGACUAAGGGCGAUGAGAGAAGUACAGAGAGACAAAGGGCGAUAGGAGAAGUACAGAGAGACCAAUAUAUUGGGAUUGCUUCUACCAGCGAUCUGGAUCGCGAAUGUAUUGCGUUCUGAGUCGUGCGAUCCGGAUCGCGGUUCGGAAGCAAAGUGAGCGAACCAGGUUUUGAUUAGGAGCUAAAAUUUGUCAAACUUAUGGCUGAAGUAGUACUGAACUACUGAUGGUGCUGUUUUAGUGAUGGGCUUUGUAUUGGUAUUAGUUAAUUGAGUCACUAGUUCAUGGUUCAUGGGAGGCCAUCUUCAAUGCUAUUGAAGAAGUCAGGUAGCAGAUUGGUGAUUUCUUAUUUUCUUUGCAUUACAAUGGAAAGGCAAAGUAGAUCAAGAUGUGGCUUCUUCACAGGUCGAGAAAACUCGUGGCAUUACAAGGGUUGUAGGAACUCACGCUGUUGUCAAUGCAGCGA
Long non-coding RNA from Rosa chinensis, 568 nucleotides. RefSeq lists it as uncharacterized. Lineage: Eukaryota; Viridiplantae; Streptophyta; Magnoliopsida; Rosales; Rosaceae. The transcript has 4 exons. The record is from RefSeq and is a predicted model, not a curated record.